Molecule: long non-coding RNA, 1032 nt
Organism: Saccostrea echinata
Lineage: Eukaryota; Metazoa; Mollusca; Bivalvia; Ostreida; Ostreidae
Exons: 3
Source: RefSeq, a predicted model, not a curated record
UGGUUCCUGAGAAGAUUUUUAAAGAUGCCACUAAAUUUUCAUGAACUCUUCAUUAUCUCUCCUUGAAAGAAGGCAUGGCACUUCCUGUGAACAAACUUAAAUCCUCUUCACCCAAGGAUGCUUUGUCACAUUUGCAGGUUAAAAAAAAUGGAGUACAUUGUUAUGAUGACCAGACUCGAAGGCAUUCAUGUAAUUGGGUGAAUCACAGAGUCUCAGGAAUCUUCUGGACUAACCAAAAGUGAUGGCUGAAACAAAUAUUAACUGGUAGUCUACUUAGUGAUCUGGACACUGGAUAAGGCAGAAACCAUUUUCAACAGAACUGUUAAGAGUGUAAAUAAAAAAAAAAACAAGAUACCCACUCUCCAACUCAUUCAUAGCUUCAUUCUUGGCUUCAUUGUGUUGAAUAUGAGUCAAGACUUUUCUAUUGUACCAAGGCUGAAGGGACUUUCAAACCAUAAACAACAUCACCACAGAGCAGUUGACUUUCAUUUCUUCUUCUGAAUUUGUAUGUUAUACCCUUAAUUAUUACAGUGUGAAUUUACUUUGCACAAAAGAAGAUGUAAAUUAGCAUAACUUCAACAAGUAUUUACUUUGUCAGUUUUAGACACAUAACUCAAUUAUUUGGUAUUUUAAAAAAAAGUAAUUGGCAGCAUUUACUGUGGAAUCAUCAUUGUUCUUGGAGGAGGAUAGGUGGGUCAAACAUAUCCACUAAUUUAUAUUCCCACAAAUACUUAUUUUUUCAACUUGUCAAUUCAUUGAAUCUUUAACUUAAUGUAUUUUAAAGUUAACCUUAUGAAUUAUGUCUGCACAAACCAGUUGAAUUAAAUGCCUGCCCACUAACAGCUGAUUAAUCCCCCCCCCCCCCACAAUAAAAUGAUUCCACAGUUUUUCAAUUUUCAAAAACUAUAGAAGGCCAUAUACAUGUAUCUGCAGGUACUUUGGGUGGUUUAAUCAUCUUUGCUUGUGCUGGUCUGUCUGAUGCCUUCAUCAGCUAGCUAUUCUGUAUCCUACAAUUAAAUUCUUGUUUCCAAA